GAUGAAGAACGCAGCGAAACGCGAUAGUUAAUGUGAAUUGCAGAAUUCAGUGAAUCAUCGAGUCUUUGAACGCACAUUGCGCCCCCUGGUAUUCCGGGGGGCAUGCCUGUCCGAGCGUCAUUGCUGCCCAUCAAGCGCGGCUUGUGUGUUGGGCCGCCGUCCGCCUUCCCCCCCGGGGGGAGGGGGACGGGCCCGAAAGGCAGCGGCGGCACCGCGUCCGGUCCUCGAGCGUAUGGGGCUCUGUCACCCGCUCUGGAGGCCCGGCCGGCGCCCGCCGACCCCCAACCUUCUUCUAACCAGGUUGACCUCGGAUCAGGUAGGGAUACCCGCUGAACUUAAGCAUAUCAAUAAGCGGAGGA
RNAcentral lists this unclassified non-coding RNA (359 nucleotides) under soil metagenome. RNAcentral describes it as "partial contains 5.8S ribosomal RNA, internal transcribed spacer 2, and large subunit ribosomal RNA". The stretch from base 1 to 120 matches the Rfam family "5.8S ribosomal RNA", at positions 35 to 154 of the family's 154-position model. The record is from RNAcentral.